UACGAAGGGGGCUAGCGUUGCUCGGAAUCACUGGGCGUAAAGCGCACGUAGGCGGACUCUUAAGUCAGGGGUGAAAUCCUGGAGCUCAACUCCAGAACUGCCUUUGAUACUGGGAGUCUUGAGUUCGGGAGAGGUGAGUGGAACUGCGAGUGUAGAGGUGAAAUUCGUAGAUAUUCGCAAGAACACCAGUGGCGGAGGCGGCCCACUGGCCCGAUACUGACGCUGGGGUGCGAAAGCGUGGGGAGCAAACAGG
Molecule: ribosomal RNA, 253 nt
Filed under: uncultured bacterium
Lineage: Bacteria
Description: partial 16S ribosomal RNA
Rfam family: Bacterial small subunit ribosomal RNA
Source: RNAcentral